UACGAAGGGGGCUAGCGUUGCUCGGAAUCACUGGGCGUAAAGGGUGCGUAGGCGGGUCUUUAAGUCAGGGGUGAAAGCCCAGGGCUCAACCCUGGAAUUGCCUUCGAUACUGAAGAUCUCGAGACCGGAAGAGGUAAGUGGAACUGCGAGUGUAGAGGUGAAAUUCGUAGAUAUUCGCAAGAACACCAGUGGCGAAGGCGGCUUACUGGUCCGGUUCUGACGCUGAGGCGCGAAAGCGUGGGGAGCAAACAGG
RNAcentral lists this ribosomal RNA (253 nucleotides) under uncultured bacterium. RNAcentral's name for it is "partial 16S ribosomal RNA". It matches the Rfam family "Bacterial small subunit ribosomal RNA", at positions 524 to 776 of the family's 1533-position model. The record is from RNAcentral.